GACAGAGGGUGCAAACGUUGUUCGGAAUUACUGGGCGUAAAGCGUGUGUAGGCGGCCGAGUAAGUCGGGUGUGAAAGCCCCAGGCUUAACCUGGGAAGUGCACUCGAAACUGCCCGGCUCGAGUAUCGGAGAGGUUGGUGGAAUUCUCGGUGUAGAGGUGAAAUUCGUAGAUAUCGAGAGGAACACCGGUGGCGAAGGCGGCCAACUGGACGAAUACUGACGCUGAGACACGAAAGCGUGGGGAGCAAACAGG
RNAcentral lists this ribosomal RNA (253 nucleotides) under uncultured prokaryote. RNAcentral describes it as "partial 16S ribosomal RNA". It matches the Rfam family "Bacterial small subunit ribosomal RNA", at positions 524 to 776 of the family's 1533-position model. The record is from RNAcentral.